Molecule: long non-coding RNA, 159 nt
Organism: Mauremys mutica (yellowpond turtle)
Lineage: Eukaryota; Metazoa; Chordata; Testudines; Geoemydidae
Exons: 4
Source: RefSeq, a predicted model, not a curated record
AGGGAGCAAGAGGCUAUCGAGGAAACCGGGGCGAAGAUGGUGAAAAUGGAAUUGAUGGGAUUGAUGGAGCAGAGGGAAAACAAGGAUCUCCUGGAUCUUCUGGAGAAAAAGGCAGUGCAGGAAGACGGGGUAGAAAAGGACCUAGAGGUGAAUUGGGUG